UAGGGAAUCUUCGGCAAUGGACGAAAGUCUGACCGAGCAACGCCGCGUGAGUGAAGAAGGUUUUCGGAUCGUAAAGCUCUGUUGUAAGAGAAGAACGAGUGUGAGAGUGGAAAGUUCACACUGUGACGGUAUCUUACCAGAAAGGGACGGCUAACUACGUGCCAGCAGCCGCGGUAAUACGUAGGUCCCGAGCGUUGUCCGGAUUUAUUGGGCGUAAAGCGAGCGCAGGCGGUUAGAUAAGUCUGAAGUUAAAGGCUGUGGCUUAACCAUAGUACGCUUUGGAAACUGUUUAACUUGAGUGCAAGAGGGGAGAGUGGAAUUCCAUGUGUAGCGGUGAAAUGCGUAGAUAUAUGGAGGAACACCGGUGGCGAAAGCGGCUCUCUGGCUUGUAACUGACGCUGAGGCUCGAAAGCGUGGGGAGCAAACAGGAUUAGAUACCCUGGUAGUCCACGCCGUAAACGAUGAGUGCUAGGUGUUAGACCCUUUCCGGGGUUUAGUGCCGCAGCUAACGCAUUAAGCACUCCGCCUGGGGAGUACGACCGCAAGGUUG
Molecule: ribosomal RNA, 550 nt
Filed under: uncultured bacterium
Lineage: Bacteria
Description: bacterial SSU rRNA
Rfam family: Bacterial small subunit ribosomal RNA
Source: RNAcentral